UAAGGUAAAAACAAAUUGUGAUCUUGAAAUUUGCAAUCUUCGCUAGCCAAGGCUUACGAUCCACUUCCCUUAACUUCACCCUUGGAAGAUUAAGCCACGAUUAGUAAUAACAACGUUGCGAUCGGUAGAUUGAAGUCACGCCAAUUUCCAAUACGUAAUUCUUGAACAAUGGUUGCACUUAAACUCUCUUCAGUGUGGAGGUGAAAACACAGUAUACAUAGCGUCUAGAGUUUACAAAAUUGUCGAAGAAGAAAACGUAAAUCCCUGUUGAAAUUGCAACAUUUGUGCAAGAAUCAUUCACAGAUACUUCUAUUAAAACAUUAAUUUGUCACUUAAUAUCGUCAUAUAUUUGGAGGAGAGCAAUUGUUUACUUAUCAAACAAUCAUCAUAUGUUAAUAGGAGAGUUCACGAUACACUCCAGAUCAAUAGAUACUGAUCACGAAUGGAAUAAGACAGAUAUCGCGAGAAAAAUUAGUAAUUGUAUUUCCAGGCAAAAGAAAUGCCUAUCAGACAUUUUUGUAUUGAUAAUAAUCUUUGAUUAAGUUGUCGUUUAAAUUUUCCCCCAA
This 566-nucleotide long non-coding RNA is filed under the name Mytilus galloprovincialis (Mediterranean mussel). Lineage: Eukaryota; Metazoa; Mollusca; Bivalvia; Mytilida; Mytilidae. The record is from RNAcentral.